Molecule: long non-coding RNA, 1066 nt
Organism: Salvia splendens (bonfire salvia)
Lineage: Eukaryota; Viridiplantae; Streptophyta; Magnoliopsida; Lamiales; Lamiaceae
Exons: 5
Source: RefSeq, a predicted model, not a curated record
AAUAAAAGGAAAUAAUCUUAAAACUUUUUGCAUAUGAUGAUGUACAUGGAUUGUAAAAAGAAGUGGCAGGAAAAGAACCAAGAAUGCAUAUAAACUGUAAAAUAAGGGACUGAUCUACAAAAAUAUCAAUCAAAGGAAGCAUGACUUGAAAAAAGAUGACAUGAGCAUGGAGGCAAUGGCAGAUUCAAGGAAUUAUGCUACUGAGAUGGACAUAAAAAAGGAAGAAAAGGAAAGUCAAGAAGAUGUGGUAACAAUAGGAAAACAGCCAAUAUUACAGAAAUGACAAAAUUGAGUUCAAAACCUUUUGAUUAGAACCCUAAAAAGCAGCCACCAACCACUCUCUCCAAAAGAAAAAGAUAGAGACAAAGCCAUUCAAACAGACAGCUACCUACACAGAGGCUGCUAAAGUUCUGAAAAUAGAUCCUUCCAUAAGAACCUCUUCAAGUCUACAAAGGUUAGGAGAAGGCCAAACAAUGCAUAUCAAAAGGUUAUGAAUUCUCAUAAGGAAGAGAAGCAAUUCAUACCAUAGAUUAAGGUAAUUACAUUACUUUCCAAAAUACUUAUACUACUUAUCAGGUAAUUACAUUACUUUCCAGAAUAUAUUGCAAGAUAAUUACAUUACUUUCCAGAAUACUUAUCCUACUGCUUUCAAACCAUAAAUUAAGGAACCUUCUUCAAUUGUGUUAUUUGCGGAUAGAAUAUAUUGCAAUAUUACUAUGUAAUUUCAAAUAUUUAUUGAAUGUUUCUCCUAUAUUUACGGACACCAAUAUUUACAUCCCAAAUUCUACAAAUUACAUAUACAUAGAUACUGACCUAUUCUUUAACUUUUUCAGGGAAAAAUUGCAUUGUGAACAGGUUUAAUACUCUAAAAAAUUGCUUAGCAAGAAAGAUAUAUUUAGAGAUUAAGAUGUCUCCUCUCUCUCUGUCUCUCUUGUAUUCUCUCUCUCGUCUCUCCAUCUCUCCUGUCUUAUAUUUCAUAUUCUAAUUUGUGAGUUGAUGCUCUUCCCUAUAUUGUUAAAUAAUACUAAAUAUCAGAUUUUAUAAUUACAAAUACCGACUUGGUGAA